Molecule: ribosomal RNA, 329 nt
Filed under: uncultured Coprococcus sp.
Lineage: Bacteria; Bacillati; Bacillota; Clostridia; Lachnospirales; Lachnospiraceae
Description: bacterial SSU rRNA
Rfam family: Bacterial small subunit ribosomal RNA
Source: RNAcentral
UGGGGAUAUUGCACAAUGGGGGGAAACCCUGAUGCAGCGACGCCGCGUGAGUGAAGAAGUAUUUCGGUAUGUAAAGCUCUAUCAGCAGGAAAGAUAAUGACGGUACCUGACUAAGAAGCACCGGCUAAAUACGUGCCAGCAGCCGCGGUAAUACGUAUGGUGCAAGCGUUAUCCGGAUUUACUGGGUGUAAAGGGAGCGCAGACGGCAUGGCAAGCCAGAUGUGAAAGGUGGGGCUCAACCCCCAAGCUGCAUUUGGAACUGUCAAGCUAGAGUAUCGGAGAGGUAAGUGGAAUUCCUAGUGUAGCGGUGAAUGCGUAGAUAUUAGGAG